GAGAAGCAACAGGUUUAGAACAGGAGGACAGGAAACACGGAGAGGGACUCCAAACUCUUACUGAGGAAAGUGUAUAGCUUGCUUCUGGCAAUGGGCAAUAUCAAGGGCUUCUACCUGCUUCUUAGAGAAAGGGUUAGAACACUGGUGCCUUCAGGUCUAGGAGGGAGCGUCUAUCCUGCAUCAACCACUAGGGCAAAGUGGACUCACAUAAAUAUUUUUCUCUCUCAAGUCUCAUGUCCUUACUAGUCAUCAUAACUUCCCAUCAUAACACACCCCAUAUGCUUGGGCUCCCUGACUCUGCCCUUCUGAAGUUCACUGGGCUGAGGGAUCCGAGAGUGAGAGGCGACACUCCCCUCAGGAUGGCUAAUCUUGACAGUCAAUUUGAGAAGGCCUAAAAUCACCUAGGAGACAAGCCUCUGAGCAUGUCUGAGGGGUCUCGAGAUUCAGUUAAUCACACUAAGAAGACCCACCCAGACUGUGGGUAACAGCGUAGACCAGGGUGCUAGACCAAGUUAAAAAGAGAGAGCAAGCAGAGUCCAGCAUUCAUCUCUCUCCGCUUCCUGAGUGAGGAUGCCACAUGGGCCAGUCUUCUCAAGGUCCUGCCACCACAUUUCCCCACUGUGCCCUCAGACUGUGGGCUGAUGAACCCACUCUCCUUUUAGAUGCUUUAGUCACAGGAAAGAGAGAAACGGCCAAUACAACCUCCAUCACCCAGGGUGUUAACAGAGCAACUCCUCCAGGCUUCAGAAAAGGAAACAACAGUUUAGAGAGGAGAGAUGUACUGGAAAUAAAUGAAACCCACUGUCCCUAUGGCCUUAGGGCAUCUACAGAGCAACACUGGCCCUGGGACUCUGCCCUUGGACACCAACUCACUUCCACCAGGCAUUCUGGGAAACCACUGCCUCAGAGCUUAAUGACCUUGGACAACUCUGUGGCCUUAGAUCCAGUAAACAAGUUCACCAACUUCCCGGUCCCAUCUGGAAUUCAGGGUUCUCAAAAUUGUCUGCCAUUGUCAAGGGCACUAGGACCUGUGGCAGGCAGGUACCACCCUCUGGACUGAGCCUGGCACAGGGGAGGUAGGGGGGAGGCUUCAAUGUGCCCCUCCCCCAUCUUUCUGACUUCCUUCUUCACUGACUCCUACAAGGUUCCUCUGUGUCACAGUGCAGGCUCUGGAAGCCUCUUAGCCCUGGUCACUUGCUUAGGAGACGGGAUGUAACUGGAAUCCCCUUACAGGGCUGCUGGGAGGAGGCAAAGCCAUGGCAGGCAUAGGAAGUGGUGUCUGGGAGGCAGAAUGGCGAUAUUUUACCCACUCCACUCCCCGUCCCCUUCAAGAGUCUCUUCCUGUUUGUUCUCCCAACUUGGGUGCCAAUGUCCUUGGAGGGAAAGGGGAGGGUGGUGCUUACACUUGGUAGGCUCGGCCCCCGCCCCAAUCAUGCUCAUAAGAGAACCAGAUAAGCUGCUGCCUGGAGGACGCAGUCCUGAGAGCAUCCACAGUCUGGCUGCGACCCUGGCCUGUGAGCACCUGAACUUCUUCCUGUCUAGGGAAGGGACAGCUAACAGCGGAAGCCAACGACCUUGGUCUCUAUCCAGGAACAUGGGUCCUGAUGGAGGCUCUGAGCCUGAGUUUCCUACCAGUUGGUCUGAGAAUGAUGUGCCUGCUUGCCCUGGGCACCCUGGGCCAUUCGUCUGCUCUACUGAGACAGUGCAGGGCAGAUCCACGUGAGCCAAGGGACAGAGUCUCACCCCAGGCUCUGCUCUACCAUUUCCAGAUGUGGGGCGAGCUCUGUGGGUGGCAGGUCUCGUAUGCCAAUCUCAUCAUGUCGGUGUGUUUCUGACAAGCAAGCACACCUUUUAUAAUAUUAAGAAAGAUGAAUAAAGAUUGAUUUAAAAUUG
RNAcentral lists this small RNA (1893 nucleotides) under Rattus norvegicus (Norway rat). RNAcentral describes it as "uncharacterized LOC102548789". Lineage: Eukaryota; Metazoa; Chordata; Mammalia; Rodentia; Muridae. The record is from RNAcentral.